RNAcentral lists this ribosomal RNA (468 nucleotides) under uncultured bacterium. RNAcentral describes it as "partial 16S ribosomal RNA". It matches the Rfam family "Bacterial small subunit ribosomal RNA", at positions 28 to 507 of the family's 1533-position model. The record is from RNAcentral.
GACGAACGCUGGCGGCGUGCUUAACACAUGCAAGUCGAACGGAAAGGCCCUGCUUUUGUGGGGUGCUCGAGUGGCGAACGGGUGAGUAACACGUGAGUAACCUGCCCUUGACUUUGGGAUAACUUCAGGAAACUGGGGCUAAUACCGGAUAGGAGCUCCUGCUGCAUGGUGGGGGUUGGAAAGUUUCGGCGGUUGGGGAUGGACUCGCGGCUUAUCAGCUUGUUGGUGGGGUAGUGGCUUACCAAGGCCUUGACGGGUAGCCGGCCUGAGAGGGUGACCGGCCAAAUCGGGACUGAGAUACGGCACAGACUCCUACGGGAGGCAGGAGAGGGGAAUAGUGUACAAUGGGCGGAAGCCUGAUGCAGCACCGCCGCGUGCGGGAUGACGGCCUUCGGGUUGUAAACCGCUUUCGCCUGUGACGAAGCGUGAGUGACGGUAAUGGGUAAAGAAGCACCGGCUAACUACGUG